RNAcentral lists this ribosomal RNA (492 nucleotides) under uncultured bacterium. Its description in RNAcentral is "partial 16S ribosomal RNA". It matches the Rfam family "Bacterial small subunit ribosomal RNA", at positions 29 to 507 of the family's 1533-position model. The record is from RNAcentral.
AGUGAACGCUGGCGGUAGGCCUAACACAUGCAAGUCGAACGGCAGCACAGUAAGAGCUUGCUCUUACGGGUGGCGAGUGGCGGACGGGUGAGGAAUACAUCGGAAUCUACUUUUUCGUGGGGGAUAACGUAGGGAAACUUACGCUAAUACCGCAUACGACCUACGGGUGAAAGCAGGGGAUCUUCGGACCUUGCGCGAUUGAAUGAGCCGAUGUCGGAUUAGCUAGUUGGCGGGGUAAAGGCCCACCAAGGCGACGAUCCGUAGCUGGUCUGAGAGGAUGAUCAGCCACACUGGAACUGAGACACGGUCCAGAUUCCCACGGGAGGCAGCAGUGGGGAAUAUUGGACAAUGGGCGCAAGCCUGAUCCAGCCAUACCGCGUGGGUGAAGAAGGCCUUCGGGUUGUAAAGCCCUUUUGUUGGGAAAGAAAAGCAGCAGGUUAAUACCCCGCUGUUCUGACGGUACCCAAAGAAUAAGCACCGGCUAACUUCGUG